GUGGCGUGGUUUGGGAUGGAGUGAGUGGACAGAAGGGAAGGAGGGCGGGCGGCGGAGGGGGAAAGAGAGAGAGGGACUAGGUCUAGCUGCGACGGAGGGAGGGAGAGAGAGAGAGAGGGGCUAGGUCUAUCUGCGACGGAGGGAGAGAGAGAGAGAGAGAGCGAAGGGCAGCGGCCGCCGCUGCGGGAGGAAGGGAGCGGGGGAGGAGGAGGGGAGGAGUGCCGCGGAGGUGGUGCGUUGUUUAGGGCCGCUGGGUGGGGCAGAGGCGCUGGCGGAGCCGUUGGUGGAGGCGGCGCGCAGGCUCAGGGUAGGUACAGGCGCGGCCGGGGCAGAGACAGAGGAAAGCACCCUCCACUGGGCGUGGGACGGGGCGCCGCCCCCUCCCCGUCGCCGCCGGAGCACAUCUAGGGUAGCCCUAGGGCAGGCCUAGUGCCGCGCCUGCGUACGGGAUCUGCGGUACUGGGCAGAGGGAGGGGAAGAGAUUAGUCCUUCCUCUCCGGUCCGCGGCCUGUACUUGAACGAGACGGGCCCUGCGGCGAGCGGUAGUUCCGUCCUCCGGCCGUUGUGCCACCACUACUGCGGUCGCAAGUCGCACCUGUUAGGGACGAGCUAAGCCGGUCCGAGCUCUAUGUGGGUAGGGAGCUGAGACGACGAAGAGGGGCUGAAUCUUACUCCGACGAGACCUCCUUCGUCUCCUGAGACCCCUCUUCCGAAGGUAGUUCCUUCGUCUGUUCAUGACGUUCCGGUAGUAGUCCUCCGACAGCGCGCCGCGGUGGACGGACUUCCCGUCGGACGACCGGUAGCGGGAACGUCGGCCCCGACCGAAGUACGAGAGGGGGUUGGACCUGGAGUGGCGGCUGGACCUCUUCGAGGUCCGCUACCGCAAUAAGAACAAACUUCGAUUCGAUCCGAUGACGUCAAGGUCGUUUUUCGUCCCCUCGGCGAGAAAAGAAAGAAGUGAUUAUUUAAGAACAAACUUACGUAUAGGACCCCCACCACUUCGACCCUCGGAAAGGAGGGGUAUUUUUAUGAAACGAGAAGUAAUACUCGUCACGGGAAUAUAUUAAUCGACGAUCCUCACAAAUAUAUGAACUAGUGGUGUGGAGAUAGCAAGACCAAUGAAAACGAAAGAAGAUACAUCAACAGGUCCCGUAUUGCCAAAAUACACACCGAACAAAAACACAAUGGUCGGAUGAAAGAACAUGACUGAAAUGGUAGUCACUGUGUGGAGAACCUCUAAAAACAUAAUGGCUACCGAAUUAUAAAUUUGACAAAUCUAACUAAACUUUAACUUUAGUAUCCCAAGAAAACUUAACAAACAUCAACGAGGUCCAGGAAGACAUCGACACAAAUAUUGACAGAAACAAGGAAAAAACUAUUGUCCUGGUCAAACUGUGCUAACUGAACAGCCUGUCGCUCUAACAGUUCGAACUCUUGAAGGGAAAGUACUUAGCUGGUCCCUCGCACGUAGUGUAUAAACAGUAUCUUAUCAAAAUAAACCGUGAAUGACAAGGACCCUACAUUUCUAUACAUAACGACCUUACUUACCAACAUUAUAUUAUUGUAACGUACAACGAAACUUUUACAUAAUCUCGUCCCGAUCCGGGUUCUAUCGAACACCACACUACACAACAUUACAGUUACCGUAUUAUAAAAAAAACCUAACCUAGUAAAAAAGCCUUGACCCGAUCCGGGUUCAAUAUAACCUGUUAAUAAAAACUC
This 1722-nucleotide ribosomal RNA is filed under the name Triticum aestivum (bread wheat). RNAcentral's name for it is "partial small subunit ribosomal RNA". Lineage: Eukaryota; Viridiplantae; Streptophyta; Magnoliopsida; Poales; Poaceae. The record is from RNAcentral.